GAUGAACGCUGGCGGCGUGCCUAACACAUGCAAGUCGAACGGACUCAUACUGAAACCUAGUGAUUUAUGAGUUAGUGGCGGACGGGUGAGUAACGCGUGGAUAACCUGCCGUAUACCGGGGGAUAACACUUAGAAAUAGGUGCUAAUACCGCAUGAGCGCACAGCUCCGCAUGGGGCGGUGUGAAAAACUCCGGUGGUAUACGAUGGAUCCGCGUCUGAUUAGCCAGUUGGCGGGGUAACGGCCCACCAAAGCGACGAUCAGUAGCCGGCCUGAGAGGGUGAACGGCCACAUUGGGACUGAGACACGGCCCAG
RNAcentral lists this ribosomal RNA (313 nucleotides) under uncultured bacterium. RNAcentral's name for it is "bacterial SSU rRNA". It matches the Rfam family "Bacterial small subunit ribosomal RNA", at positions 28 to 334 of the family's 1533-position model. The record is from RNAcentral.